GAAAUUAGCUGAUCCUGAGAUGUUUGUUUCUCACAUCAGAGUUCCAAUAAUCAAAUCAGAUUUUCUUGCAGCCUUAAAAUGUAUAUUUAUUCAAACAAUACACAGCAUCUCAAAAUAACAUAAACUCUUUGCACACAUCUGUACCAAUACAGCAAUAUGUAUGCACUUAAGUUUAUAUCCAUUUUUUAUGUUAAGUAUUGGUGACGAACAGGGCCGGACUGGGAAAAAAAUUAGGCCCGGGUGUGACGAGACCAAUCUCGCCACUGUGCAUUGGAGGAGCCUGGUUGCCCGUCUGCUGCCUUUAGACUAUGGCCCCAUGUUGAAACGCUUGAUUUUCCCCUGCAAAGACACGAAAGCCGGGUCAUUCGGUGCUUGCCCUGUUUGAGCGGUGAUACCCCAGAUAGCUAUGCCAUGGAGCCCAUUCGUAUAAUGAAAAACUAUGGGAAAGACUUUGGCUCCAUGGCAAUUGAACUGUAUGUGUGUCCUCUGAGCGCCAUUCAGAAAUAAUGUCCGCUCAGAUCUGAGCAAUCUGGGGAUAUGUUGAAUGUAGCCAACAAAUAUAUCACCAAAGGGUGAAAAACACAAAUAGUAAACAUUUUUAACAGUGAGUAGUACUUAGCUUUAGAUCACGAAUGACAGCCUCCCUAGGUCGUUACCCAGAAAUGACCUAUAUCAUAUAUAGAGAAUCACAACAAACAAUUCGGGAUAUGGCUGUAUAAAUCUACAGGAAAGACAUAAAAUAAAACAUAGUGUGAUAUUGUUACAACACAGUUUCGUAAUGCGCAGCAAUAUUUGCACUCACUAGAUGUAGAUAAGUGUAAGUAUUCUUAAGGUGCCUCCCCCGAUGUAAUGGGGGGCCAACAGAUCUCUUUGAUCACCUCCAGAGAAUUAUUCCACCACAGGACUUCCACAGGUUAAGGUAAAAAAAUUAGAAAUUUAUUCAAUAAAAAAAUAAGCAGUCACCAAUCAGCAUAGGAUAUGAAGAGCAGAAAAAAAAGGUCCUAUGCGUUUCGUUCUAAAUGAACUUCCUCAGGGACCGCAGUAAAAACAAUUGAAAAUGUAUCAAUACAUAUUCCAAAACAAACAUAUCCUUAAAAAAACCCUUCCCUGUGUCCUUAAAUAGGGCUAGUCCCUAAGUCCAUUGGUGGAUUCAGUGGGCGUGCAGAUCUUCUUCCAUUCGGAUUGGAGAAGGAAUCUUCUUUCAUCAGCUGUUUCAAACUUCUCCAUAAAAUUGGCGCCCUUUUUCGGCAGAAAACCGGAAGUGACCGUGAUCGCCGAAACCGGAACUGACGUCACGAGUACAUCUGUGUUCCAAAUGCGUUCCAGCAGCCAUUAAUCUCUAUGGCAACCGGACACACAGAUUCAGCUACAAUUCAUGUGGAUCAAAGGAGUAAUUGAAGUUCAAAGUUCUUCUAGAGAAACAUGUGUUAGCUAUAUUUAACUCAAAACACCCUCAUGCCUUAUUCAUAUAUCACUAUACAAUAGAUGUUAGUAACUUUUAUAGCUAAUCAACAUAGAUUAUAUUCAUCAGAUUAAAGGACCACUCUAGGCACCCAGACCACUUCAGCUUAAUGAAGUGGUCUGGGUGCCAGGUCCUUCUAGGGUUAACCCAUUUCAUAAACAUAGCAGAGAAACUGCUAUGUUUAUGAAUGGGUUAAGCCUUCCCCCUAAUCCUCUAGUGGCUGUCUCAUUGACAGCCACUAGAGGCGCUUGCGUGCUUCUCACUGUGAUUUUCACAGUGAGAGCACACAAGCGUCCAUUGGAAAGCAUUGUAAAUGCUUUCCUAUGCGACGGGCUGAAUGCGCGCGCGCAUUCAGCCCAGGAGGAGGAGAGAAGAAGGAGAGCUAUCCGCCCAGCGCUGGAAAAAGGUAAGUAUUUAACCCUUUCCCCCUUCCAGAGCCGGGCGGGAGGGGGUCCCUGAGGAUGGGGGCACCCUCAGGGCACUAUAGUGCCAGGAAAACGAGUAUGUUUUCCUGGCACUAUAGUGGUCCUUUAAACAAUAUAAAAAGAUAUUUUAUAUAAAAUAAUAAAGUGCAAUAAAAAAAAAAAAAGGAUGUUUCUCUGGACAUGAGGAAUAACUUCAGUCCUAUAAAUGAACACCCAUGUCUAUUUAUUUUUAAAGGGAUAUGACAACCUAAAUCCCAAGUGUAGAGUGUUUGAUCAAACAAUUCAUUGUAUAUCCCCAUUUAGUGGAUACACAAUAAUUGUUCUGUAUCAUAUUUAUAAACCCUUAAAAUAACUUGUAAUAAUA
RNAcentral lists this long non-coding RNA (2251 nucleotides) under Pelobates cultripes (western spadefoot toad). Lineage: Eukaryota; Metazoa; Chordata; Amphibia; Anura; Pelobatidae. The record is from RNAcentral.